AAACCCGAGAGUUUAAAAAAUAGUUUUUUGAACUGGGUACCGAUACGCGGGCUCGGGUACCGGUACAAGCCGUGCGGAAUUGUUUUUAAAUACCGAUAUUAGUUUUUAUUUUUCCACUUAUACUUCAUCAAAACUCCUCCCUUCUCUCUCUAAAAAUCACCUAGCAUCAUUCUCAUCCAGAUCUACAAGUUUUCAGCAGA
This 200-nucleotide long non-coding RNA is filed under the name Ananas comosus (pineapple). Its description in RNAcentral is "long non-coding RNA (ACOM_LNC029493)". Lineage: Eukaryota; Viridiplantae; Streptophyta; Magnoliopsida; Poales; Bromeliaceae. The record is from RNAcentral.